CAUCCUACGGGGGGCAGCAGUGGGGAAUAUUGCACAAUGGGAGGAACCCUGAUGCAGCGACGCCGCGUGAGUGAAGAAGUAUUUCGGGAUGUAAAGCUCUAUCAGCAGGGAAGAAGAUGACGGUACCUGACUAAGAAGCCCCGGCUAACUACGUGCCAGCAGCCGCGGUAAUACGUAGGGGGCAAGCGUUAUCCGGAUUUACUGGGUGUAAAGGGAGCGUAGACGGCAGGGCAAGUCUGGAGUGAAAGCCCUGGGCCCAA
This 260-nucleotide ribosomal RNA is filed under the name uncultured bacterium. RNAcentral's name for it is "partial 16S ribosomal RNA". It matches the Rfam family "Bacterial small subunit ribosomal RNA", at positions 335 to 612 of the family's 1533-position model. The record is from RNAcentral.